UUCACUCUGUGAUGGCAAGGCAAGAGAUAUUGAUGUAUUUUCAAUGUUACCAACAUUUACAUUUAUUUAUAACAGAUAUCAUUUUUGAUUGUUACCUCUAACUGCAAAUUUGGAUGCACAAUAUGGUACCAAAUUGGAUAAUCCAACCAUACCAGCCAUUGAUGAAAUUGCAACAAUAUGACCAUGAUUUUUCUCUAUCAUACUCGGCAAAAAAGCUUGCAAUACC
Polistes dominula (European paper wasp) is the source of this 226-nucleotide long non-coding RNA. RefSeq lists it as uncharacterized. Lineage: Eukaryota; Metazoa; Arthropoda; Insecta; Hymenoptera; Vespidae. The record is from RefSeq and is a predicted model, not a curated record.